RNAcentral lists this long non-coding RNA (544 nucleotides) under Pan troglodytes (chimpanzee). Its description in RNAcentral is "lincRNA". The record is from RNAcentral. Lineage: Eukaryota; Metazoa; Chordata; Mammalia; Primates; Hominidae.
CCUGGCCAGGGUCCUGGUCCCAUCCCAGUGGGCUUCCUGCCUGCCAGCCUGGGGGAGUGGCGUGGGCUGACCCCGACCAGACUGACCGGGCCUCAACAUCACCUGGGAAUCUUGGAAGGAAACAGGUUCCUGGGCCUUGCUCCAACCUAAGGAACCCGAAUCUGCAUAGCUCACAUGGUGCCGUAUUUCCAGCGUUCAGAGCACAUUGGAAAGUUGGGAGGAAGGAUGAGGCUUGUGUUUUCACUCACAAACUCCCUCCAGAAGAUGAUAAUGAAAGUGUCUGACGCAUAAGGAAAUAAAUAAGAUUGUUAUGUGCCCAGCUCAAGGGCUAAGGUGUUGGUCAAGACCACACCCGAGGGGCUGCCAGUCACAGGGUGGGGUCCAAGCUCCUCACCCAGACCCAACCUCCCCUGCUCUGCAGCCUCAUCCUUCCCCUGUCUUUCCUGGGUUAAAUUUUACACUUAGUAACACUGAAACCAGGCAGUUUCAUACCUCUGAGCCUGCAUCUAUGCUCAUCUCUUUACCUGAAACGUCUUCUCUCACC